GACGAACGCUGGCGGCGUGCUUAACACAUGCAAGUCGAGCGGUAAGGCCCUUCGGGUACACGAGCGGCGAACGGGUGAGUAACACGUGGGUGACCUGCCUCUAGCUCUGGGAUAAGCCUGGGAAACUGGGUCUAAUACCGGAUAUGACUCCACGGCGCAUGUUGUGGGGUGGAAAGCCUUGUGUGGCUAGAGAUGGGCCCGCGGCCUAUCAGCUUGUUGGUGGGGUGAUGGCCUACCAAGGCGACGACGGGUAGCCGGCCUGAGAGGGCGACCGGCCACACUGGGACUGAGACACGGCCCAGACUCCUACGGGAGGCAGCAGUGGGGAAUCUUGCGCAAUGGGCGAAAGCCUGACGCAGCGACGCCGCGUGAGGGAUGACGGCC
Molecule: ribosomal RNA, 384 nt
Filed under: uncultured bacterium
Lineage: Bacteria
Description: bacterial SSU rRNA
Rfam family: Bacterial small subunit ribosomal RNA
Source: RNAcentral